GGGGUUGUGGGUCAGCGGUAGAGCGAUCACCUAGCAUGUGCGAGGCCCUGGGUUCGAUCCUCAGCACCACA
RNAcentral lists this transfer RNA (71 nucleotides) under Marmota monax (woodchuck). Its description in RNAcentral is "tRNA.Ala". Lineage: Eukaryota; Metazoa; Chordata; Mammalia; Rodentia; Sciuridae. The record is from RNAcentral.